Long non-coding RNA from Saccostrea echinata, 507 nucleotides. RefSeq lists it as uncharacterized. The transcript is spliced from 3 exons. NCBI's taxonomy places the organism in Eukaryota, Metazoa, Mollusca, Bivalvia, Ostreida, Ostreidae. The record is from RefSeq and is a predicted model, not a curated record.
AGAUCCGAGGCCAUUCAAACACAGAAACAAUCCGUCUUACAACUCUAUGGUGCAAAAUAUCAUCAUCAACUACUGCAGCGUGACAUCUAAAGAUAUCUCUAUGAGGUAUUUGUAUCCAAGAGCAAAUCUUCAGGCUGUGUCCAUGAUGCAUGACUAUGGUCAUUUGCCACUUACAGAACAAAUGGUUGAUAAUGCUUUGAUGGUUGAUGAACGAAAAAUUCACCAGAUAGAAGCAUCAACAAGAGGACAGAGCAAAAACACCAAAUGAUUUAAGGCGAGGGAGUGGAGACUGACUGCAUCGCGAUUUGGUGAAGUAUGCAGAGCUACUUGUCGACGCAAUACCAGUAAAUUAUGUAGUUCCAUUUUGUGUUCAAAUAUCAAAACCAAAGCCAUUUUACAUGGAAAAAAUUAUGAAAAAAAAGCUUUGAAAUUGUUUGAAAACAAGUUUGGCAUAAAAACUACAGAAUGUGGGCUUUUUGUCUGUUUAGACUACCCAUGUCUGGAAGC